UGACAUGUUUCUAUUAAUAAAUUUAGUGCACCUCAUCCCGUCCGAUUUGAGAAGUUAAGCAUCGUCGAGCCACAUCAGUACUGAGGUUGGAGACAACUUGGGAACCUGUGGUGCUGAGUCUU
Molecule: ribosomal RNA, 122 nt
Filed under: Naegleria gruberi
Lineage: Eukaryota; Heterolobosea; Eutetramitea; Acrasida; Naegleriidae
Source: RNAcentral